Molecule: unclassified non-coding RNA, 337 nt
Filed under: soil metagenome
Description: partial contains 5.8S ribosomal RNA, internal transcribed spacer 2, and large subunit ribosomal RNA
Rfam family: 5.8S ribosomal RNA (bases 1-120)
Source: RNAcentral
GAUGAAGAACGUAGCGAAAUGCGAUAAGUAAUGUGAAUUGCAGAAUUCAGUGAAUCAUCGAAUCUUUGAACGCACAUUGCGCCCGCCAGUAUUCUGGCGGGCAUGCCUGUUCGAGCGUCAUUUCAACCAUCAAGCCCCCGGGCUUGUGUUGGGGACCUGCGGCUGCCGCAGGCCCUGAAAAGCAGUGGCGGGCUCGCUGUCACUCCGAGCGUAGUAGAUUUUAUCUCGCUCUGGGCGUGCUGCGGGUUCCGGCCGUUAAACCACCCUUUUAACCCAAGGUUGACCUCGGAUCAGGUAGGAAGACCCGCUGAACUUAAGCAUAUCAAUAAGCGGAGGA